RNAcentral lists this ribosomal RNA (498 nucleotides) under uncultured bacterium. Its description in RNAcentral is "partial 16S ribosomal RNA". It matches the Rfam family "Bacterial small subunit ribosomal RNA", at positions 28 to 507 of the family's 1533-position model. The record is from RNAcentral.
GACGAACGCUGGCGGCGUGCCUAAUACAUGCAAGUCGAACGAGAGCGACCGGUGCUUGCACUGGUCAAUCUAGUGGCGAACGGGUGAGUAACACGUGGGUAACCUGCCCAUCAGAGGGGGAUAACAUUCGGAAACGGAUGCUAAAACCGCAUAGGUCUUCGAACCGCAUGGUUUGAAGAGGAAAAGAGGCGCAAGCUUCUGCUGAUGGUUGGACCCGCGGUGCAUUAGCUAGUUGGUGAGGUAACGGCUCACCAAGGCCGUGAUGCAUAGCCGACCUGAGAGGGUGAUCGGCCACAUUGGGACUGAGACACGGCCCAGACUCCUACGGGAGGCAGCAGUAGGGAAUCUUCCGCAAUGGACGCAAGUCUGACGGAGCAACGCCGCGUGAGUGAAGAAGGUUUUCGGAUCGUAAAACUCUGUUGUUAGAGAAGAAUAAGUGCUAGAGUAACUGUUAGCGCCUUGACGGUAGCUAACCAGAAAGCCACGGCUAACUACGUG